UUUUUAUUCCGUCUGCCAUUUAUUUGGGGCUUGGGACCAUGAGGUCAUACAUUUUUCCCCCGAAUAGUUACCAGCGUCCUCAGGGCUAUUAUUAACAUCUUCUUUCCUCUGUGGAUUUGCGAUGAUACCUUUAUUUUGAGAGCAGCGUCUUCUGAGUGGAGUGUCUCUGCUUCCUCUCUCCUGGUCUGUGCGAGUAACUGCAGACCUUGUUUGAUGGACUUUUGCUCUACAGUUUUGACGUCUUCAUGUCUGAAAUGAAAGUCUCUUCGUUGCUGGUCUAUUUAAAAUGCUCUGGUCUGUUGUACCUGUUAUCUGCUGCUGCAUAACAAAUAACCCCGAAAAUCUAGCCUCUUCAAACAACAAGCAUUUACUAUCCCACACAGUGUCAUGGCUCUGGGAGUGCUCCAGGGGAUGGCUCUGCCUCAGGAGCUGUCCUUAGCUGGCUCCAAGGGGCCACCAGACUGCAGUCAUCUGAAGGCUGGACUAGGGCGGGGGGGGCCCACGUGGACCCAACAUGGCAGCUGGUGCCCCCAAAAAGAAGACAGCAACCAGCACAGGAGUCCCCCAUCCCCUGCGUGGAGGUGCUCUCUGGCUUCUGCUGCAUUCUCAGCGACCACAUGGGGGGGCCCCACCGGACGUGACCUCCGGGAGGUGGGGGCCUUCUUGUAGGCGGACCCCCACAGCUGGCUUUGUUCGUGGUUUCAUUCAAAAUAACUUUAGAGUCAUUCAAAAAAAAGAGACGAGUUUGACUUUGUCCACCUCUGUGUGUGGCCAUGGGAAGGGCUUACGUCGUCACCGUAUUUAUUCCGGUCCUGAGGCAAAGGCGACAUUCCUCUUCCUUCAUGUUUGUCUCACACGUUUAUGGCCCAGGCUCCCUUUCUCCAGCAUUUUCCCGACUCGUCUGGAAGCCCCUGGUUUGGUUUUGUGCCUGGUCCUCUCGCUGGAGUCUGCAGCCUCAGGACCCCUAGGCAGGGGCUCCAGGGUCCUCAGAGAGUUCUUGACGACUGGACGACAGGGUUACGGGAACCAAGCCAGGCCAGGCCCUGUCUUCUGCAGGGGACACCUGCUGCCCACGGGUGAGCUGCUAGUGGGCCGGGAGGGUCCCAGGUCCUUGAGCCUCAGAAUCUCCUGGAAUGUCUUUUAAAAUAAGCCAGAUUUGGAGUUCUCUGGUGGCUCAGUAGAUUAAGGAUCCAGCAUUGUCACUCUUGUGACUCAGGUUUGAUCCCUGGCCCUGGGAAACUUCCGCAUGCUGCGGGCAAGGCAAACAAAACAAAACAAAACAAAACCCAAAAAACAAAAAAACCCAAACCCCAGCUUUCUCAGGCCCAGCCCAGGCCCAGCCAGGGCCUGGAGCCUUGGAUCUGGGGGGCGGCUCUUCGGGUACCAUGUUUUAUAAGAAGGGCACCCGCCCCAGAGGCAGGGGGUCGGCAGAAGGGCCUCUGGGGACCUCCCGUGAGUGCCCAGCAGAGAAGCCCUCUUCCACCGUCCAGGCCUAAGGCCCAGGUCUGAGCCCCCGCCUCAGCUGUCACCUGGCAGCCCACCCUGAGCCAGUCCUCUCGGGACUUGGAUGCUCAUGGCCACUCCCAGCCGGCCUUGGCCCAGCCCCUCCACUGGGAAAAGGAGGCUUGGAGGCCACAGACGGACGUGGCCAAGGUCACAGCAAGUGGGCGAGCUGACCCCCUGCUAAGUGCUCUCCUGAGCGCCUCUGGCCAGCAGGUUACCUCUGAGGCUGGGUUCUGCCACCCACCCCGCUCCCAGCUGCCCCGUGGUGAGGCCCUUGGAACCACUGUGUCCUGAGGGUGACACACAGGGAGGGAGACUUCAGUGUGCCCAGCCUCUUCUGACCCCACCUCGGGCUCACCCCAGCCCACCGGACCUGCACCCCGCCAGCAGAAGCACCCUGGGAACGGGCCCUUGUCUGGCCCCCAAAGGUUAAGAGUUUGGAGGCCAAAAGCCGGGUCUUCAGAAUGCUUGCGGCUGCCAGGAGUCAGCGCCCUCUCGUCAGAACCGGCUCCUUAAAAUACCGACACAGGCAGCCAGUGUCACUGUUGCCCCAGGACAGUGACACCCCCGAGUCCUCCCUCACCAGGUCCCUGGGCGUGGACAGGACAAUACCACACCCAUUUCACAGAUGAGGAAGUGGAGGCUCUGCGGGGCUAAGGAUGCUGCCUUGGGCACCUCAGCCGAGCUGAGCUGAGGACUGGGGUCUGGGUGCCCACCUGGAGGGCCGGCUCUGGACACGGGUGUCCCACCACUCUCUGUGGGCACAGGCUAACGUGUGUGAGCAGAAGGCCGGCCAGGAAUGGGGGUCUUUGUUUAGCAAACUGACACCCAGUGUCACCUGGCUGAGGGAACUAGAGCCAGUGCCAGCACCUCGCCCUGCUCCCCCAAACUUUCUAUCGUCCCUGUGACCUCAGGGAGGCGGGGGCCUGUGGAAGAUUCUGGAAACCACUUCCGCACACACUGCCUAUUGGGGCCAUCGGGCAGCGGCAGGACACCUCUCCCCUCAGGCGCCCAGACUCUGCGCCCGCCCCACCUUGGGCCCCCAACGGGCUGCCAUGGGGGCUGGGAACGAGCCGCAUCCCUCGACCAGCCGUUCAGGGUCCGCCCCCAGCCGCCUGUUCAUGCGACACUCUGCACACCUGGAGGCCUGGGGAGGGGGGCAUCCGUUUCCUGCCCUUGGUCCCUCGUGGAGAAGGCGUGGGGCGGUGGCUGGUGACCACAAGCAGUGGCCGCACCUCAGUGCCUUCCAGCCUGCACGUCCCCUCUGGGCCCAGUGGCCCACCUUUGAGGGUGGGGCGCCAGCACCCUCUGUCCAGAGUCCCGUAACCACCACUUUUCUGGAAAAUGUUCCUUAUGUCCCUGCUUUCAUGAGCCUGCAGGCGGGGCCCUGCGUGGCCUCGGGCCGUGUGGCCUGGAAGGGGGGAUGCUGGUCGGCUGGGGCCGAGCCCCGCAGGGAGCUCUCCUUCAGGGAACCAGACCUCCGGACCACCCGGGUGGGGGGGGCACCAGAGAGGCCGGGAGCCGAACACGUGUCUGUCAGCAGGUGGCUGCGUGUGACCACCGCACAGGACAGGCGGGGCCACCUCCCUGACCCGGAGGAUCAGGAAGGUGAUCCAGUCCUGCGGCCUCCAGCUCCCCCCACUGACAGGUGGGGAACGGGGGCUGGAGAGGAUGGGGCAGGGCCACGGUCACUAGAAGGAACCCAGGCAGACCAGCGGAGGGUAGACAGGCUGGGGAUGUGGCCAGAGCCACCGGCGCCAGAGGGACUGAGGGACAGAACAUCCAGGUGAUUCAGUGGACACUGGAAGGAGGGCCACCAGGGAACACAGGCUGGCAUCACGGUGCCCGAGGGAGGACCUGGCAGAGACUGAGGGCUGAGACGGCAAGUCAUCUAACUUCAGGGCUGACGGGGACACUGGGAGUCCCUCAGCUGAGGAGGGACCUGUCAGGGGCAGGGCUGGAGGGGGCAGCUAGCACACUGGGCAUCAGCUGGCCUGACCUCAGGG
Molecule: long non-coding RNA, 3509 nt
Filed under: Sus scrofa (pig)
Lineage: Eukaryota; Metazoa; Chordata; Mammalia; Artiodactyla; Suidae
Description: lncRNA (ENSSSCG00065073628.1)
Source: RNAcentral